Molecule: long non-coding RNA, 1809 nt
Filed under: Helianthus annuus (common sunflower)
Lineage: Eukaryota; Viridiplantae; Streptophyta; Magnoliopsida; Asterales; Asteraceae
Description: hypothetical non coding rna
Source: RNAcentral
GAUAUGCAUGACAUAAAUAACAAUAGUAACCAUGGAAAUAAUGCUCAGUCUUCAUGUUAAGUACGGAUAAGUAGGUGUAAAAAGGGUGAUUUUGGUUGUAAUAAUAAGUCUUUGAAUGAUUGCAGUAGGCGUAUGAUAAUAUAUCGACCAUUCCUAUGCGCUUAAAGCUAAUCAGAGGUAAUGAUAGUAAUGGAAUGUUUAGGAUAGCUCAUAGUGAACAAAAUAAAAGACAGCAUAUGAUGUAUGAGUAGUAUGAAAUAAAUCGAUUUAUUUUGAUUAGUAAAUGUAUGAAUGUAAUAUGGUUAAAUAGGAAGCUAGAAACAAGUUGUGACCUUAGGUCUUUACGAGUAAUAAUUGUAUACAUUUGGAAUAAGUUCAAUGAAUGAAAUGCUAGUGAUAGUAUGUACUAGAAACUAGCAAUAUAAAGUGAAAGACACUAAUAAGAGCUCUGGAUCAGACCCUGACCUCGUGUGAUUAUGAAAGUAAUUUACUAGUUUAAGAAGAUAAGGACAAUGCGUACGAUCAUAAUUAUUCAUGAUUAAGACUGUUGCAAAGACCCCGAAUGACUUAUGUUGUAAUGUGCCCAUUGAAUGAGUACAAUAGACUUGUACAAGAGUAAGAACGAGAAAGGUUUCGGGGACGAAACCUUCUUUAAGGGGGGGUAGACUUGUAACACCCCAAAAUUCGAAUUAUUAAAUUCGUUAGCAUGUUGCCAUGUUUAAUAAAAUGAGAUACAAUAACUGAGUUAAUAAACCUAGUUAAAUGCCUAUUAGAUAAGCUAAAUGAUGAAACUUGUGGCAUUUAUGAUAGUAAGUUAAACUUGAGGGACUUAGAGUGCCAAACUUGGAAGUUUAAUUUAUUAAAACAAAAAUCACACACACACCCACACAAGGUGUGCGUGUGAUCGAGCAGGAGAAAAGGGGAAGGGGUGUAAACCCUAACCCACAUGAAAUCAUCAAAUUGGAAAAGGAUUUGAGGGUUAAUUGGAUGCAUAAACCAAGAUUUAUGAUCACUCAAGCGUUCUUGACACCAAGAUAGGAAUCCCAAAUUGACAUGGACUCAAGUAUGGAAAACUAACGGGUCAAGCGAAGGUGAGGAAGCAAGCAUGAACACUAACGCUUAAGGUAAGUGAUUCCGUAAUCACUUCUUAGUUGUUUAUGUAAUGUUAUAUGCAAUUUAAUUAUAUGUGAUAAUUGAGGUCGAAUAGGAAUGAAUUGUAUGAUGUCAAUGAAGUAUUAAACGGAUUUUAGUUUUGAUCCGAGCAAGGUAGGUGUGAUUAAGAAAUUGUAGCUAAGUAGUGGAAUUGGUUACUUACGUAAGGAAUUCCUUUGUUAUUAAGGAUAGAGCAUAGUUGACUAAAAUGCCCUUGAUAGGUAUAUCGGGCAAACGACCUUAGAAGUCGUUUGGAAACGAGCUAUUCGAUUUGAGUAAUGUCUUGGACAAGUAUGAAAGCGAAGUAUAGGGUUUGGUAUGUCAUAGUCCACUUAAUGCGCAAAUACCCAUAACGGGUCAAAAAUAAGCCUUUGAGCGAAAAUGGGUUAAGAGGAUGCAAGACGUCCGAGAAUUUAAUCUUUUAUGAUAGGUGCCAAUGAAAUUAUUAAAGUUCAUAUGAGAUUGAGGUCAAAUAAACAGAUUAUGUUGAUAAAUGCAUGAACGGGUCAAAUAGUUAGAAAAUGAUAAUAUGUCGAAUGCACGUAAGUUAAGAAUUUCCUUAAUCCGGAGGUAGGAUUUUAAGUUAAUAUGAUAGAAUGUGAAUUUACAAGCAUGUAGGAAGAAACGGGAGGUUAAACGGGUAAACGGUUCAAAAGU